RNAcentral lists this ribosomal RNA (216 nucleotides) under Glomeromycotina sp. RNAcentral describes it as "partial small subunit ribosomal RNA". The stretch from base 40 to 216 matches the Rfam family "Eukaryotic small subunit ribosomal RNA", at positions 686 to 864 of the family's 1831-position model. Lineage: Eukaryota; Fungi; Glomeromycota. The record is from RNAcentral.
GGGUCAGUAGGUUGGUCGUGCCACCGGUACGUACUGGUCUCACUGAUUCCUCCUUCCUGAAGAACCGUAAUGCCAUUAAUUUGGUGUUGCGGGGAAACAGGACUGUUACUUUGAAAAAAUUAGAGUGUUUAAAGCAGGCUAACGCUUGAAUACAUUAGCAUGGAACAAUGAAAUAGGACGAUCGAUCCUAUUUUGUUGGUUUCAAGGAUUGACGUA